GUUAAAGGUAACGCGCAGCUGGUGGAUGUAGUUCAGUUCAUGGGUCUGAAUGCUGACGAAAAUUGUGCAUUUCCAGGUCACUGGAUUUGUGUCGUGAGACCGCUGCAUGUAGAAGCGGGUUGUUCAUUCACGGCAUCAAAAGCUCGUUGUGUGGUGAGUCGUUUUGCGCAUUCAGCCUCGAAGUGUACGCUCGAAUCGGCAACGGUCUGAGAAACAUUUUGAGCUAUGGGUGGACUCCAAAAUCAGGCCAAGCAAAGUGUUUCUCUUCAAACGGGCAUGCUGAGGCGCCAUCACGAGCCUUCAUAGGAGAGCCUCAAGUCGGGUACCGCGAGUAGAAGCCAUGGAGAUUUAGCGCGUUAUUUUGGCUCUAGUCAGUGACGUGGAUUGAAUGAAACAGCGCUUUCGUUCAACAAUUCCCAUGAAAAACAGCUCCCAGUGGAAACAUAUAGAUCGCGCUUUAGCUCUGGAGUACUGGUGAAACGCGCGGUACCAUGGCUAGCUGCAGGCGCGAAUCGAAUCCUCUGUCGACCGGACGCUGGUUAUUUUCAUCAAAAGUCUGCAGCGUUUCAGGAAAUGAUCCAUAUGGAGCACUCAACGACUCAUCGGGAUGUUCGUUCGUCCGUUCGUUCGCUCGAGCCAAUACCGCUGAACGCUCCGGAAGCAUGGGACAUACCCGAAUGGUCAUCGAGGCGAUCGAGUCGCGGUCUACAAACUGCCUGCGCCCAUUGUUGGCAGUAGAAUCACACCAGAGUAUGCUUCUCAUUUUCGAUUACCUCGCCAUCGGUCGUGAAGUCAGCUUACCGUACACAAUCCCGUGCAUCUGACUCCGCCUCACGCUCUUCUUCUCUAACAGUUUUUGUUUGCGCCCGAGCUCGUGAUGCGUUCACGUCGUCCUGAACAUAUCCAUGGGUGUGGUUUCAGAAUCGAUUCAUGGUUUAUCAUAUGCUGUCGUUCAAGAAGCAGGCGUGCAGCCUUUUUGCGCCACAGCACGUCCAGCGCCAUUGGCUACCAUCAAGCGACGUUACGCAUCGGUCAUUUGCGUUCCCAGCUCUUGGAUCGAGCAGUCGAAUGGACGCUUCCUGCCUCCGCACAACCGAAGCGGUAGACGAUGCUUGUGCGAUCCGAGGAACUGCCACAGGUCGUCUGCACAAGCCAUUUGGACGAUGACGUACGCUCCCUUCAUGAAGCGUGCCGCGCGUGUCGCUUUGCUCGAAAAGGUGCUCAGGGCGUCGAAGUCGAACUCCAAGUCGCGACGCCGACCUUUCAUUUGUUAGGGCGCUUCCUGCCGUCGAUGAAGCCCUGCUCUCGAUCAUGUAGAGCGCUGGAAAUGCUGAGCAGCAGCAGCAGCAGCAGCAUCUGCUUCCUGUUCCUGCCUUUCGUGUCGUUCUCUAGAAUAGGAGUUGCGGCGACGGUCAUGGUGUCGUUCAACUCGAUUUGGAUGUCCACCACAAACUCCCUCUGGUCACGCAUGUUGAGCGGGUGAAAAAGAGUCUUGUUUGUCGACUAAAGCC
RNA transcript from Cyanidioschyzon merolae strain 10D, 1511 nucleotides. RefSeq lists it as hypothetical. The transcript has a single exon. The record is from RefSeq and is a predicted model, not a curated record. NCBI's taxonomy places the organism in Eukaryota, Rhodophyta, Bangiophyceae, Cyanidiales, Cyanidiaceae.